AGAGGGUGCGGGCGUUGUCCGGAAUCACUGGGCGUAAAGGGCGCGUAGGCGGCCUGAUAAGUCGGGGGUGAAAUCCUGUGGCUCAACCACAGGGCUGCCUCCGGGACUGUCGGGCUCGAGCACAGUAGAGGCAGGUGGAAUUCCCGGUGUAGCGGUGGAAUGCGUAGAGAUCGGGAAGAACAUCGGUGGCGAAGGCGGCCUGCUGGGCUGUUGCUGACGCUGAGGCGCGACAGCGUGGGGAGCAAACAGGAUUAGAUACCCUGGUAGUCCACGCCGUAAACGAUGGGCACUAGGCGUCGGGGGGAGCGACCCUCCCGGUGCCGUCGCUAACGCARUAAGUGCCCCGCCUGGGGAGUACGGCCGCAAGGCUG
This 371-nucleotide ribosomal RNA is filed under the name uncultured bacterium. Its description in RNAcentral is "bacterial SSU rRNA". It matches the Rfam family "Bacterial small subunit ribosomal RNA", at positions 527 to 896 of the family's 1533-position model. The record is from RNAcentral.